RNAcentral lists this ribosomal RNA (231 nucleotides) under uncultured bacterium. RNAcentral describes it as "partial 16S ribosomal RNA". It matches the Rfam family "Bacterial small subunit ribosomal RNA", at positions 103 to 334 of the family's 1533-position model. The record is from RNAcentral.
CGGGUGAGUAACGCGUGGAUAACCUGCCUCACACUGGGGGAUAACAGUUAGAAAUGACUGCUAACACCGCAUAAGCGCACAGUACCGCAUGGUACAGUGUGAAAAACUCCGGUGGUGUGAGAUGGAUCCGCGUCUGAUUAGCCAGUUGGCGGGGUAACGGCCCACCAAAGCGACGAUCAGUAGCCGACCUGAGAGGGUGACCGGCCACAUUGGGACUGAGACACGGCCCAA